GUAGGAUCCUCUUUUCCUUCCUGUGCGGUUUCUCAUUGGCAGAAGUUUUCAACAAGAAAAUAUAUUUUGAGGUAUGAAAGUCACGUUCUUGAUGACGUGUUUUUCCUUCUUCUGCUGUCUAAAGCUUAAGCAACUUCGGGUUUAAUUUUACGUCAUUUUAUCUCCAAUUUAUUGGUUAUAAAUCAGCGUAAACAAUGUAUGUGUCAGGCCUGCCUCGGCAGGCUCCGACUAGGGCUCCUCCCUCCUCUGGUUUGUUUUACUUUUUAGGUGUUGUGUACGGUGGCACCGGCGGCAGGUGAGAGCAAUCCGGUGCACCUGUAGAAACAGGAACAGGUGUGCCAGGACCAAUCGGUCAUCGACCUCUACACCAUUUAUUGGGACUCCAGUCAUCAGUUCGACGCCGGAUCGUGAAUGCUCACAUUCGGACCCCACCUGCUCUGCUGACUGAGCCAUCUUGCCAACUGGACUCAUCAAAGCCCUGCGUUCCAAGCCGACUUCCGGAUCACUCCGUCACUCUUCAGUCCUCCGUCCAAAUCUCCAUCUGCUGUCGCUGCCGAGAACACCAGCUCCUGCCCUCAGCACAUUAGCCUCAACACGAGCAGUUUCUAGUUUUGUUGUUAGAGUUUCGUUUGUCCUUGGUCUUGGAUUGUUUGUGGUACUGGCUAACUGAUUUACCCGGUACUUUUGUUAGUAGAUGUAGUUUAUAGUGUAAUGAUUGCGAACUUCGUUUUCAGUGAGCUACGUGUUUCAUAGCCUCGAGUUCCACCUUAGUUUAGUAUAGCUUGUGGCUUCUUAGUUAUAGUUCAUUCUCUGUAUGUAGUGAUCAUAGUUGCGCCUUUGCUUCGAGUUAUCCCUAGUUUGGUGUGCUUAGGUGCUCAACUAAUCUUCAGCAUUAGCAAUCAUAGUUCUUAACUCUCCUGCCCAGGUUGUGCCUGCCGUGGGUCAGUUCUUUGUUUCGAGAAUUGUAGUUCGUACCGCCCGCCAUUAGGGGCACUCUAGCUCUGAAGUUGAGUUACGAUAUUUGUUUCCUUUUCUGGAUACUAGACCUUAGGGCAUUGUAGUCCCCGCCACCUUUUGUUAUUAUAAUAAAUCAUUGUGUUAGCACCCGUUGUCUCCUUCUCUUUUCCUGCGCCU
Amphiprion ocellaris (clown anemonefish) is the source of this 1134-nucleotide long non-coding RNA. Lineage: Eukaryota; Metazoa; Chordata; Actinopteri; Pomacentridae. The record is from Ensembl.